UAAUCAUAAAUCAUUUUGGAUUCUUUACUUUUUCUCAAUGUGCAAUUACAGCUUAUUAAUCCUAAAUCCUAAAAAAUAGCAAUUACAGAUAAACUCUUUAUACAUAAUAAUGAAUGUCACAAGCUAUGACAAAUAAAGUAUACAAUAAUUUUACUGAUAAAAGAUAGUUUUAUUAGUAUUCAAGCAAACCAAUUACAUUCUGAUCACCCUGUAUAAAUACAUCGUCAUGUCGUAAGAUUUCACAUUAAAAAACAGAAUCUAAAACACCAUGGUUGUCACUACACUGUUGUAGCUUUAUACCCCUGAGACUGCAAUGCUUCACUACUUGGCAAAGCUCGAUCUAUUGCACUGGAUCAUCCCCACCAUAGACUAUAUUGUUGUUGUAAUGUUACCAUGCAUGUAAUCUGCUCUGCCAGUGGUAUCCUGACAUUAUUGGCAUUCAGUCCAU
This 448-nucleotide long non-coding RNA is filed under the name Aquilegia coerulea. RNAcentral's name for it is "long non-coding RNA (ACOE_LNC000775)". The record is from RNAcentral. Lineage: Eukaryota; Viridiplantae; Streptophyta; Magnoliopsida; Ranunculales; Ranunculaceae.